This is a non-coding RNA of Pseudonaja textilis, 167 nucleotides long. The record is from RefSeq and is a predicted model, not a curated record. NCBI's taxonomy places the organism in Eukaryota, Metazoa, Chordata, Lepidosauria, Squamata, Elapidae.
CUGAAAAAGAGGCAGGCACUAGCGAAACCAGUCCAAAAACUGAGGGUUCAGAAACAGAAGGAGAAGAAACUGAAGGUACUUCAAAGAAAACAAGUUCAGAAGAGGGAGACGAGGAAGAGGAAGAAGAUUAAUCCUAUUUAUCUAGAGCACUACUUAUCACUAUAUAU